RNAcentral lists this ribosomal RNA (492 nucleotides) under uncultured bacterium. RNAcentral's name for it is "partial 16S ribosomal RNA". It matches the Rfam family "Bacterial small subunit ribosomal RNA", at positions 29 to 506 of the family's 1533-position model. The record is from RNAcentral.
AGUGAACGCUGGCGGUAGGCCUAACACAUGCAAGUCGAACGGCAGCACAGUAAGAGCUUGCUCUUACGGGUGGCGAGUGGCGGACGGGUGAGGAAUACAUCGGAAUCUACUUUUUCGUGGGGGAUAACGUAGGGAAACUUACGCUAAUACCGCAUACGACCUACGGGUGAAAGCAGGGGAUCUUCGGACCUUGCGCGAUUGAAUGAGCCGAUGUCGGAUUAGCUAGUUGGCGGGGUAAAGGCCCACCAAGGCGACGAUCCGUAGCUGGUCUGAGAGGAUGAUCAGCCAACACUGAAACUGAGACACGUCCCGGACCCUGACGGGGGGCGGCAGGGGGGAAUAUGGAAAAAGGGGCGAAAGCUGGACCCACCCAUACCGGGGGGGUAAAGAGGGCCUGCGGUUUGAAAAGCCUUUUUGUGGGAAAAAAAAAGCAGCGGGUUAAUACCCCGCUGUUCUGAGGGAACCAAAAGAAGAAGCACCGGCAAACUGCGU